UGUAAUAUUAAGUCAUUAAAACCAUUUCAGUUUUAAACUCUUGUCCCACAAAUCUGUCCUCAAUGUUUUGCAUAAACGGGUAUGAAACCUCUUGUUGAUGCUGCUGAUCAUCGAUCACGGUUCAUGACUUCUGAAUUGAAUUUGACACUACUACUACCAGGGUGUUUGACAGUGAGAAAAAGUUUCCAAUAAAUUUACAAAGAUGGCAAGAAAACCAUUUGGAACUAUAAGACAUACCUGCCAACCUUCCUGUUUUGAGUGGGAGUCUCCCGCACAAACGACGAAAAUAGGGAAAUCUCCCGCUUGCCGGUCAGCUCCUGCGCAGGAGUAUAGAAUCUCCCACUUUUGGAUAUUUUUACCCGGAAUGACCCGGGUUCCUAAUUCUCUGGUUUUUAUACGACCGCAAAAAAAAUUUUUGUGGUCGUAUAUUGGUAUGACGUUGGCGUCGUCGUUGUUGUCCAAAGACACAUUAGUUUUCACACUCUAACUUUAGUUUAAGUGCAUGGAUCUCAAUGAAAUUUUACCAUAAGGUUCAAUACCACAAAAGGAAGGUGGGGAUUGAAUUUGGGGGUUAUGGUACCAACAGUUAAGGAAUGAGGGGCCAAAAAUAAGCAUUUUCUAGUUUCCAGACAAUAACUGUGGAACGGUGUAUGGAUCUCUCUGAAAUUAUACUACAAGUUUCCAUACCACAAAGGGAUGGUUGGGAUUUGCUUUGGGGGGUUAUGGCUCAAACCGUUUAGGAAUUAGGGGCAAAAAAGGGGGAAAAACAAGGUUGUCCUGGUUAAUGGACAAAUACUUUAGUACAAAACAUAAUUUAAAGCAGCGUAAGGGAGAUAAAUCAAAUACAUCAUUGAAAUUAUCUCCCUUACACUGCUUUUGAAUUAUGUAUAAAGUAAUGGUUAAUGAACAAUUAAGAUAAUUUAAAACAGUGUAAGGGAGGUAAUCCAAAUACAACGUUUUGGUUACUUCCCUUACACUGCUUUUAAAUUAUGUUUAAAGAAAUGCAUAUUUAUAAAGGAAGACCAGUAAAAAUAUCUGCAAAUGUUGCAUCUUUUUUUUU
This is a long non-coding RNA of Mytilus californianus (California mussel), 1060 nucleotides long. RefSeq lists it as uncharacterized. The transcript has 2 exons. The record is from RefSeq and is a predicted model, not a curated record. Lineage: Eukaryota; Metazoa; Mollusca; Bivalvia; Mytilida; Mytilidae.